UACGGGGGGGGCAAGCGUUGUUCGGAAUUACUGGGCGUAAAGGGCUCGUAGGUGGCCAACUAAGUCAGACGUGAAAUCCCUCGGCUUAACCGGGGAACUGCGUCUGAUACUGGAUGGCUUGAGUUCGGGAGAGGGAUGCGGAAUUCCAGGUGUAGCGGUGAAAUGCGUAGAUAUCUGGAGGAACACCGGUGGCGAAGGCGGCAUCCUGGACCGGCACUGACACUGAGGAGCGAAGGCCAGGGGAGCAAACGGG
This 253-nucleotide ribosomal RNA is filed under the name uncultured bacterium. RNAcentral's name for it is "partial 16S ribosomal RNA". It matches the Rfam family "Bacterial small subunit ribosomal RNA", at positions 524 to 776 of the family's 1533-position model. The record is from RNAcentral.